Molecule: long non-coding RNA, 436 nt
Organism: Strongylocentrotus purpuratus (purple sea urchin)
Lineage: Eukaryota; Metazoa; Echinodermata; Echinoidea; Camarodonta; Strongylocentrotidae
Exons: 3
Source: RefSeq, a predicted model, not a curated record
GAUAUGACCCUUGGACAGCCUUCCUUUGAUCAGGCAGCCAAUGUGUGUUUAGUUCUCCAUCCGAAAUAUCGUUGAAACUCUCAUUGAUGUUGGGACAAGGCAUAUUGUGCUUUCAGCCUUCAUGAUCGUGUGGGCCCAACCGAACAGCUGAUAGGUCUGUUUCUCCUAUGUUCGUUUCAGUGCCAGUGGAAAGUGAUCAUGGAUACAACAAAAAGAAUGCGAAUCGUUUUAGCAAAUACCCCAAAUAAGCAAUCUGGUAGAAAAUUCUUUUUCAAUUGUAUAAUCAGCGUCAUGAUAGCGCUCGAACUGUCGUCUUACUGUAAAGCUCAGUGCUCAAAUCCCGGGGAAACAUUGGAGUUUAAUUCAAGACCUCAACUACUGAAAUCGACAAUCUACCCGUGCUCGUGGAAGAUUGCUGUUCCAGAUGCAGAACGCA